CCAAUAGCGUAUAUUAAAGUUGUUGCAGUUAAAAAGCUCGUAGUUGAAUUUCGGGGUUAGUAGGUUGGUCAUGCCUCUGGUAUGUACUGGUCUCACUGAUUCCUCCUUCCUGAUGAACCUUAAUGCCAUUAAUUUGGUGUUUUGGGGAAUUUGGACUGUUACUUUGAAAAAAUUAGAGUGUUUAAAGCAAGCUAACGCUUGAAUACAUUAGCAUGGAAUAAUGAAAUAGGACGUUCGAUCCUAUUUUGUUGGUUUCUAGGAUUGACGUAAUGAUUAAUAGGGAUAGUUGGGGGCAUUAGUAUUCAAUUGUUAGAGGUGAAAUUCUUGGAUUUAUUGAAGACUAACUACUGCGAAAGCAUUUGCCAAGGAUGUUUUCAUUAAUCAAGAACGAAAGUUAGGGGAUCGAAGACGAUCAGAUACCGUCGUAGUCUUAACCAUAAACUAUGCCGACUAGGGAUCGGAUGAUGUUAAUUUUUUAAUGACUCAUUCGGCGCCUUACG
This 500-nucleotide ribosomal RNA is filed under the name uncultured Glomeromycotina. Its description in RNAcentral is "partial small subunit ribosomal RNA". It matches the Rfam family "Eukaryotic small subunit ribosomal RNA", at positions 591 to 1092 of the family's 1831-position model. The record is from RNAcentral. Lineage: Eukaryota; Fungi; Glomeromycota.